RNAcentral lists this ribosomal RNA (511 nucleotides) under uncultured bacterium. Its description in RNAcentral is "bacterial SSU rRNA". It matches the Rfam family "Bacterial small subunit ribosomal RNA", at positions 28 to 531 of the family's 1533-position model. The record is from RNAcentral.
GAUUAACGCUAGCGGCAGGCCUAAUACAUGCAAGUCGAACGGGAUUCAAAGUAGCAAUAUUUUGAUGAGAGUGGCGCACGGGUGAGUAACACGUAUGCAAUUUACCUUUAACUGGGGGAGUAGCCCUCCGAAAGGAGGAUUAAUACCGCAUAAUAUAUUGAAAUGGCAUCAUUUUAAUUAUUAAACCUACGGGGGUUAAAGAUGAGCAUGCAUCCGAUUAGCUAGUUGGUGUGGUAACGGCUCACCAAGGCAACGAUCGGUAGGGGGUCUGAGAGGAUGAUCCCCCACACUGGUACUGAGACACGGACCAGACUCCUACGGGAGGCAGCAGUAAGGAAUAUUGGACAAUGGAGGCAACUCUGAUCCAGCCAUGCCGCGUGAAGGAUUAAGGCCCUAUGGGUUGUAAACUUCUUUUAGACGGGACAAAACCCCUUUACGUGUAAAGGGUUGAUGGUACUGUCAGAAUAAGCAUCGGCUAACUUCGUGCCAGCAGCCGGGAAUGUAUCGUACG